GCACAAGCGGUGGAUGAUGUGGUUUAAUUCGAUGCAACGCGAAAAACCUUACCUACCUUCGACAUGUACGGAAUUCGCCAGAGAUGGCUUAGUGCUCGAAAGAGAACCGUAACACAGGUGCUGCAUGGCUGUCGUCAGCUCGUGUCGUGAGAUGUUGGGUUAAGUCCCGCAACGAGCGCAACCCUUGUCAUUAGUUGCUACAUUUAGUUGGGCACUCUAAUGAGACUGCCGGUGACAAACCGGAGGAAGGUGGGGAUGACGUCAAGUCCUCAUGGCCCUUAUAGGUAGGACUACACACGUCAUACAAUGGCUGGUACAAAGGGUUGCCAACCCGCGAGGGGGAGCUAAUCCCAUAAAACCAGUCGUAGUCCGGAUCGCAGUCUGCAACUCGACUGCGUGAAGUCGGAAUCGCUAGUAAUCGUGGAUCAGAAUGUCACGGUGAAUACGUUCCCGGGCCUUGUACACACCG
This 469-nucleotide ribosomal RNA is filed under the name uncultured beta proteobacterium. Its description in RNAcentral is "bacterial SSU rRNA". It matches the Rfam family "Bacterial small subunit ribosomal RNA", at positions 923 to 1392 of the family's 1533-position model. Lineage: Bacteria; Pseudomonadati; Pseudomonadota; Betaproteobacteria. The record is from RNAcentral.